Schistocerca americana (American grasshopper) is the source of this 596-nucleotide long non-coding RNA. RefSeq lists it as uncharacterized. NCBI's taxonomy places the organism in Eukaryota, Metazoa, Arthropoda, Insecta, Orthoptera, Acrididae. The transcript has 4 exons. The record is from RefSeq and is a predicted model, not a curated record.
UGGCGGAGAUCUAUAUUUAGUGGACUGAAUGAAGACUGAGAAAAUGCAGUUUGAAAUGCAAGUGUUGUUUGUGUAUGUGAUGCUGAUAAACCUUUGAAGACUUGUGACGUGUAAUUUGCACACGUCACGGCCUCAUGUGCCUCAACAGAAGACUGCAAUACAAGACUGAAGGCGAAAACCCACUCGAGUACAACACUCAAGACUGAGAAGGGCCCAACGUCCCACCGACAAAUGUGUUCAAAGAGGCGAUGGAGCCUCUCAUACUUGACAUCAGUAAGGAGGGGAAGUGGACGUGACACUUGCUAAGAGAUGGGAUUUCCGUGGAGUAAUUUAGAGAAACAACGUCAAACUAAAGUUGAGUGCUUGCACCUGGACUCAGAUUUUGGCUCUUCUGAACACUGUACAGCGUACUGAAACUGCGUCACCUUGUGAGGGGGCAUCGGUGGGAGUCUGCCUCCUCCUAAAACAAUAACUAAUAACCUAGCAGAGUUGUCCUGUCGGCAUGGGCGACUCACGGGACCGCUUGGACUCGGAUGACGAAGCAGGCAGCGGCGAGAGCGGCGCGGAUGCCCGGGCCGCCGGUAGCGGGGGCGGGG